This 2923-nucleotide ribosomal RNA is filed under the name Staphylococcus aureus. Its description in RNAcentral is "23S ribosomal RNA". It matches the Rfam family "Bacterial large subunit ribosomal RNA". Lineage: Bacteria; Bacillati; Bacillota; Bacilli; Caryophanales; Staphylococcaceae. The record is from RNAcentral.
GAUUAAGUUAUUAAGGGCGCACGGUGGAUGCCUUGGCACUAGAAGCCGAUGAAGGACGUUACUAACGACGAUAUGCUUUGGGGAGCUGUAAGUAAGCUUUGAUCCAGAGAUUUCCGAAUGGGGAAACCCAGCAUGAGUUAUGUCAUGUUAUCGAUAUGUGAAUACAUAGCAUAUCAGAAGGCACACCCGGAGAACUGAAACAUCUUAGUACCCGGAGGAAGAGAAAGAAAAUUCGAUUCCCUUAGUAGCGGCGAGCGAAACGGGAAGAGCCCAAACCAACAAGCUUGCUUGUUGGGGUUGUAGGACACUCUAUACGGAGUUACAAAGGACGACAUUAGACGAAUCAUCUGGAAAGAUGAAUCAAAGAAGGUGAUAAUCCUGUAGUCGAAAAUGUUGUCUCUCUUGAGUGGAUCCUGAGUACGACGGAGCACGUGAAAUUCCGUCGGAAUCUGGGAGGACCAUCUCCUAAGGCUAAAUACUCUCUAGUGACCGAUAGUGAACCAGUACCGUGAGGGAAAGGUGAAAAGCACCCCGGAAGGGGAGUGAAAUAGAACCUGAAACCGUGUGCUUACAAGUAGUCAGAGCCCGUUAAUGGGUGAUGGCGUGCCUUUUGUAGAAUGAACCGGCGAGUUACGAUUUGAUGCAAGGUUAAGCAGUAAAUGUGGAGCCGUAGCGAAAGCGAGUCUGAAUAGGGCGUUUAGUAUUUGGUCGUAGACCCGAAACCAGGUGAUCUACCCUUGGUCAGGUUGAAGUUCAGGUAACACUGAAUGGAGGACCGAACCGACUUACGUUGAAAAGUGAGCGGAUGAACUGAGGGUAGCGGAGAAAUUCCAAUCGAACCUGGAGAUAGCUGGUUCUCUCCGAAAUAGCUUUAGGGCUAGCCUCAAGUGAUGAUUAUUGGAGGUAGAGCACUGUUUGGACGAGGGGCCCCUCUCGGGUUACCGAAUUCAGACAAACUCCGAAUGCCAAUUAAUUUAACUUGGGAGUCAGAACAUGGGUGAUAAGGUCCGUGUUCGAAAGGGAAACAGCCCAGACCACCAGCUAAGGUCCCAAAAUAUAUGUUAAGUGGAAAAGGAUGUGGCGUUGCCCAGACAACUAGGAUGUUGGCUUAGAAGCAGCCAUCAUUUAAAGAGUGCGUAAUAGCUCACUAGUCGAGUGACACUGCGCCGAAAAUGUACCGGGGCUAAACAUAUUACCGAAGCUGUGGAUUGUCCUUUGGACAAUGGUAGGAGAGCGUUCUAAGGGCGUUGAAGCAUGAUCGUAAGGACAUGUGGAGCGCUUAGAAGUGAGAAUGCCGGUGUGAGUAGCGAAAGACGGGUGAGAAUCCCGUCCACCGAUUGACUAAGGUUUCCAGAGGAAGGCUCGUCCGCUCUGGGUUAGUCGGGUCCUAAGCUGAGGCCGACAGGCGUAGGCGAUGGAUAACAGGUUGAUAUUCCUGUACCACCUAUAAUCGUUUUAAUCGAUGGGGGGACGCAGUAGGAUAGGCGAAGCGUGCGAUUGGAUUGCACGUCUAAGCAGUAAGGCUGAGUAUUAGGCAAAUCCGGUACUCGUUAAGGCUGAGCUGUGAUGGGGAGAAGACAUUGUGUCUUCGAGUCGUUGAUUUCACACUGCCGAGAAAAGCCUCUAGAUAGAAAAUAGGUGCCCGUACCGCAAACCGACACAGGUAGUCAAGAUGAGAAUUCUAAGGUGAGCGAGCGAACUCUCGUUAAGGAACUCGGCAAAAUGACCCCGUAACUUCGGGAGAAGGGGUGCUCUUUAGGGUUAACGCCCAGAAGAGCCGCAGUGAAUAGGCCCAAGCGACUGUUUAUCAAAAACACAGGUCUCUGCUAAACCGUAAGGUGAUGUAUAGGGGCUGACGCCUGCCCGGUGCUGGAAGGUUAAGAGGAGUGGUUAGCUUCUGCGAAGCUACGAAUCGAAGCCCCAGUAAACGGCGGCCGUAACUAUAACGGUCCUAAGGUAGCGAAAUUCCUUGUCGGGUAAGUUCCGACCCGCACGAAAGGCGUAACGAUUUGGGCACUGUCUCAACGAGAGACUCGGUGAAAUCAUAGUACCUGUGAAGAUGCAGGUUACCCGCGACAGGACGGAAAGACCCCGUGGAGCUUUACUGUAGCCUGAUAUUGAAAUUCGGCACAGCUUGUACAGGAUAGGUAGGAGCCUUUGAAACGUGAGCGCUAGCUUACGUGGAGGCGCUGGUGGGAUACUACCCUAGCUGUGUUGGCUUUCUAACCCGCACCACUUAUCGUGGUGGGAGACAGUGUCAGGCGGGCAGUUUGACUGGGGCGGUCGCCUCCUAAAAGGUAACGGAGGCGCUCAAAGGUUCCCUCAGAAUGGUUGGAAAUCAUUCAUAGAGUGUAAAGGCAUAAGGGAGCUUGACUGCGAGACCUACAAGUCGAGCAGGGUCGAAAGACGGACUUAGUGAUCCGGUGGUUCCGCAUGGAAGGGCCAUCGCUCAACGGAUAAAAGCUACCCCGGGGAUAACAGGCUUAUCUCCCCCAAGAGUUCACAUCGACGGGGAGGUUUGGCACCUCGAUGUCGGCUCAUCGCAUCCUGGGGCUGUAGUCAGUCCCAAGGGUUGGGCUGUUCGCCCAUUAAAGCGGUACGCGAGCUGGGUUCAGAACGUCGUGAGACAGUUCGGUCCCUAUCCGUCGUGGGCGUAGGAAAUUUGAGAGGAGCUGUCCUUAGUACGAGAGGACCGGGAUGGACAUACCUCUGGUGUACCAGUUGUCGUGCCAACGGCAUAGCUGGGUAGCUAUGUGUGGACGGGAUAAGUGCUGAAAGCAUCUAAGCAUGAAGCCCCCCUCAAGAUGAGAUUUCCCAACUUCGGUUAUAAGAUCCCUCAAAGAUGAUGAGGUUAAUAGGUUCGAGGUGGAAGCAUGGUGACAUGUGGAGCUGACGAAUACUAAUCGAUCGAAGACUUAAUCAA